RNAcentral lists this ribosomal RNA (497 nucleotides) under uncultured bacterium. RNAcentral's name for it is "partial 16S ribosomal RNA". It matches the Rfam family "Bacterial small subunit ribosomal RNA", at positions 28 to 507 of the family's 1533-position model. The record is from RNAcentral.
GAUGAACGCUGGCGGCGUGCCUAAUACAUGCAAGUCGAGCGAACGGACGAGAAGCUUGCUUCUCUGAUGUUAGCGGCGGACGGGUGAGUAACACGUGGAUAACCUACCUAUAAGACUGGGAUAACUUCGGGAAACCGGAGCUAAUACCGGAUGAUAUUUUGAACCGCAUGGUUCAAAAGUGAAAGACGGUCUUGCUGUCACUUAUAGAUGGAUCCGCGCUGCAUUAGCUAGUUGGUAAGGUAACGGCUUACCAAGGCAACGAUGCAUAGCCGACCUGAGAGAGUGAUCGGCCACACUGGAACUGAGACACGGUCCAGACUCCUACGGGAGGCAGCAGUAGGGAAUCUUCCGCAAAGGGCGAAAGCCUGACGGAGCAACGCCGCGUGAGUGAUGAAGGUCUUCGGAUCGUAAAACUCUGUUAUUAGGGAAGAACAUAUGUGUAAGUAACUGUGCACAUCUUGACGGUACCUAAUCAGAAAGCCACGGCUAACUACGUG